UACGUAGGUGGCAAGCGUUGUCCGGAAUUAUUGGGCGUAAAGCGCGCGCAGGCGGUCCCUUAAGUCUGAUGUGAAAGCCCACGGCUCAACCGUGGAGGGUCAUUGGAAACUGGGGGACUUGAGUGCAGAAGAGGAAAGUGGAAUUCCAUGUGUAGCGGUGAAAUGCGUAGAGAUGUGGAGGAACACCAGUGGCGAAGGUGACUUUCUGGUCUGUAACUGACGCUGAGGCGCGAAAGCGUGGGGAGCAAACAGG
Molecule: ribosomal RNA, 253 nt
Filed under: uncultured bacterium
Lineage: Bacteria
Description: partial 16S ribosomal RNA
Rfam family: Bacterial small subunit ribosomal RNA
Source: RNAcentral